This 328-nucleotide unclassified non-coding RNA is filed under the name soil metagenome. RNAcentral's name for it is "partial contains 5.8S ribosomal RNA, internal transcribed spacer 2, and large subunit ribosomal RNA". The stretch from base 3 to 120 matches the Rfam family "5.8S ribosomal RNA", at positions 37 to 154 of the family's 154-position model. The record is from RNAcentral.
GGUGAAGAACGCAGCGAAAUGCGAUAAGUAAUGUGAAUUGCAGAAUUCAGUGAAUCAUCGAAUCUUUGAACGCACAUUGCGCCCCUUGGUAUUCCAAAGGGCAUGCCUGUUCGAGCGUCAUGAUCAAAUCUCAAGCCUUGCUUGGUAUUGGGUUUUCGUCUACUUUUGACGUGCCUGAAAGUCAAUAGCAGUGCCUCAAUAUAGACUCAAGCGUAGCAGACUGACUCGCUUUGGAGAACUUUUGUGGUCCUGUGAACAUAAUAAUCAAGUUGGACCUCGGAUCAGGUAGGGAUACCCGCUGAACUUAAGCAUAUCAAUAAGCGGAGGA